UUUAAGUUGCCUUUCCAAUUUUGAGAUAUUCAAUCUUAUACUUUCAUUUCAACUUAUCCGACACCCAGCUAUCUCUGCUAGAAUGAUCUUGUUCGUGGAUGGGGGAUGGACAUGACACUCGGCUAUUGUGCAUAGGUAAAUUACUACCUCACGAGUCAUGAUGGUAUUUUAUAAACUUAUUUAUUGUAACUAAUUAUUUUGUAUGAGCUAACAGUUCGCCGACUAAACCUUUGCACUGUGUAUUAAGCUUAAAUGAUAGCGCAAUGACAAUCAGACAAAGGCGUAAGCUGAGUAAAAGUCAUGUAAUCUUUGUUAUUGAUAAACUUUGGAUCUUAUGUAGGGCGAUCUCUCGAAGAGAGUCAGAGUAGUUGACAGUGAAAACAUUGCUCAUGAGGGAAUCCAGACUUUAAAAAAUAAAAAAAUAAAUAAAUAUAUAUAUCACAUGGGGCUGGGGCCCAUGUGAUGAAAUCCUAAAAUUAGGUUUACUAAUCCUGUUAAAACUUCUAAAUGAUGGGACCAUUGAUUUUUUUGCUUUUAUACGCACUUCGAUUUAUCUAAUGGAUCAAUCUCAUUUUCUUUGCCUAUGUAAUAUUUGAUAUUUGUGCAGGCUUCACACCCCGAGGAGACCGUGAAGGUAUAAUUCCCACUAUGCCUGUUGUUUUUUGUUUCAAUACACUUAUCUGCAUCGUUAAACUAGAGAAAUUAUUGUUAUUUUAAAUGAAAUGAGGCCUAAUUUUAUAUAUAUUUCAUUUGUUAAGUGCAUCUCGAUGACAACAAUGGAAGUUUACAAAAGGAGUGAAAAAUUGGCUAAAAGGGGUUGAAUCCAAAGUUUGGGGACUGAAUUGCAAAGGGUUCAUAGUUGAUUCGGACCCAAUAUCAAUGAUUAUAGAAGUUUCUUUUGAUGGUCAGAGGCAAAUUGAAAGCUAAACAAUGAUUAAUCGAGUGGAAAAAUAAAGAUGUCCCCUACGUUAAUCAGCCUUUAUCUGGCCAACUACUUAUUACUGCGCGGGCUCAUCAAACAACGCUUUUUAGCUUUCUUUAGGAUUCGGCCCAAACCGUCUGGAAUAGAAUCAAACAAAAAGCUGUUAGCAAGGUCCCAAGUAGGCUGUACAUGAAAUAGACGACUAAUCUUUAACUUUUCGAGGAAUCCUUCAUUGGUGGUUGUGAAUGACUGAUUUUUUCAAUGUUUUCGACCUUGGUUCCAUUUUCGAUAUCACUUAUUCAAGCGCCCUGAGAAAUCCCAAGCAAUUCUAUUUUGUUGGAAUUGGAACCUAAAGGAUCAAGAAGACAUCAAAAAGAGUUAAAAUGAAUGAAAAUCGAAGUACAUGGAUCAAAGUGCAACAAUUAGAAGAUUUUAUAACUACGUGCGCACGGGUUUAAAGUGGGGCGCGGGGGACCGUGUCAAACUGGGGCAAAUUUUGGGCGUUCUCAUACUGGGAAAAUUUUGGACCGAACAGCCAAGCUUUUGUGUUUCGACCUAAACUCUAUGUAAGCCAAAUUUAACCUACCAUUUAAACAACAUGGGAUGGCUAGAAUGGCAAGAUACGUUAUCAUAUAUAAUUUUUACCACAAGAAGGAGGCAAGCGGAGGAUUCAAAGGUGAUUAUCACAAAAAAAUUGAAGAUUCAACAUUCGGAUUGAAGAUUAACAAAG
RNAcentral lists this long non-coding RNA (1652 nucleotides) under Olea europaea subsp. europaea. Lineage: Eukaryota; Viridiplantae; Streptophyta; Magnoliopsida; Lamiales; Oleaceae. The record is from RNAcentral.